This 2048-nucleotide long non-coding RNA is filed under the name Podarcis lilfordi (Lilford's wall lizard). The record is from RNAcentral. Lineage: Eukaryota; Metazoa; Chordata; Lepidosauria; Squamata; Lacertidae.
GGGGACUUCCGGGGUGGCGCCUCCGGAAAAUGGCGGAAUUCCCUUCGGACUGAAGGGAACCCGCUGCACGGAGGCUUGGGUCCUGCCGCUACGGCGCAGCGGGGACCCGCAAAAACCACAGGCGGAAGAAGCCUGUGGACGUGGGACUCGGCGGGCACCGAGAGCGCCCUCUCCCCUUGUACAGGAGCCCGGUAACGGGCUCCGGAGUGGGAGGUGCGUGGUGCUGUGAGUCGACUGCUUCCUCCGUGCAGCAAAGCCGCACUGCCGUUAUCGGAGAGCGCUGCCUUUUCCUGGACAAUUUGGCAUCUAAAAUAUCUAUCCGUGAGUACCUGAUCUUGGAAGAGUUGAACCACUUUUAAGACUGGUGAAUAAACAAAUAAUAUUGGACUUGAAAUUGAACUUAAUUGGGACUCGGAAUGGGAAGGUCUAAACAGGAAGUCGCCUUCCGUUCUUUUGUUAUGUGAAGAAAGCAAAGACAAAAUAUACUAAAGCUUGAAAAUUAAAUUCUAAGAGAACUAGAAUUCAACAUCUAAGAUUUCUGAACCCCCUUUGACUGCAGGAGAAGAAGGGGGUUGUAUUUGGACUUUUCAAUCCUGCGGAAGUGAGUUUAAAAUAAAGCAAUUUUCCACCGCCCUGAACCAGGAGCGGGCUGUCAGAAUUGACGUUCUGAAGUUUAUCCAGCUCGACAGUUAGUUAAAAGAAGGGUAACAUUUUGAUUCUACUGUUGCCUCUUGAAUUUGGAAGGGUGAAUUUUGGAUAAAGUGUUUCUGGAAAAAGAAAGAUUGUUGCUGUUGCUUUUAUUCCUUUAAAAAAAAAAAAAUUCCAUCUAGUGGAAUUUAGUGAAAUUGCAACGCAGAGAGAUUAAAAGAGAAGGACUAUUGGACUAUUGUCGUGGGAAAGAAUUUUCUUUGACCUUGAAGGACAAUGCUAGUACAAAGGCUUGAACAAUUGUUCCUGGAAGGUUUUUCAAAACUAAGUGCCCAGCUGGACCAGAUGCGUCAGGAGACGACCUUGAUGAUGGAAGUUACCAGAGCACAGCAGCAAACAAAUGAAAUUCAGUUAAAGGCUAUACAAGCAUAUGAACCUGCUGUAGUGACGGAGGCUUCAGAGAUGGAGGGACCUUUGGACGGGCAAGAUCAGCCUUUGAACUUGAUAAAUGAACUUGGGACAAACCAGAUUCGGAAAGAUGAAAUGUGGUCAGAUUUGGAAAUGGGGGAUGGAUCGACCCCCUCCAUAUGGUUAUUUGGACCUUCCGAGUCUGGUGAUGGGCUAUCAGAGGAUUGGAGUAGCCGAAGUCUCCAAGCUUUGUGGAAAUUUGAAGUGGUAUUAUUUGCUGUCUGGCUUGGGCAAUGGGUUUGGGAUGGACUUGCUGCAAAGGGUCAAAAGCAUUUUCUUGCUGGAGCAUCCACGACUGGAAAGGAAUCAUCAACAAGAGUGGCGAAAGGGGCAAGAAAGAGACUUGAGGGCCUCGGAUACGAGACAACCAGGUUAAGGAGCCGGAUUAUCGAGGUUAAAAGGACUGACAAUCCCGGGUCCAGGGGAGGGGAGGUUGGAAGCUGACUGGACUGAAUUUGACUUAUUAUUUUUUCUUUUUUAUUUUUUAAUAUUGGGAAUGCUUACAAAUGUUUGAAGGAUGUUGAAUGAAAUUACAUGGCUUAAGUAAGGAUUGGUAAAUGAUUCGUAAAAGGUAAUGAUGCAAGAAUUUGGUAAAUAUUGAAUAUAAGCUAUGAGUUUUAAAGUUUUUAUAUGACAAGAGGGAAAAUAGAAUAAGGAAACGUAAUGACAGAUUGUUAUGAAAAAACAGAAAGGAUUUGCUGUAAAAAUUAAAAAUUAAGAAACAAAAGAGGGAGGAGGAGGAAGUCUAGAAAGGAAGUCACUAGAGAUUGUAAAGGACUUUAUAUUUUUGUUUUUCUGUUUCUCUUUUUUUUUCUUUGCGGCUGGGUUUUCUUUUCUUUUUUGUUUAUGUACUAUUUUUGUUUUUUGUAUCCUCAAAUUUUUUUUGGAAAUUUUUGUUGUUAUUCUUUGAAAAUUUAAUAAAUAUCAAUUAU